CAGUAGCCGCGGGAACACGUAGGUGGCAAGCGUUGUCCGGAAUUAUUGGGCGUAAAGCGCGCGCAGGCGGAUAGGUCAGUCUGUCUUAAAAGUUCGGGGCUUAACCCCGUGAUGAGAUGGAAACUGCCAAUCUAGAGUAUCGGAGAGGAAAGUGGAAUUCCUAGUGUAGCGGUGAAAUGCGUAGAUAUUAGGAAGAACACCAGUGGCGAAGGCGACUUUCUGGACGAAAACUGACGCUGAGGCGCGAAAGCCAGGGGAGCGAACGGGAUUAGAUACCCCUGUAGUCCCUGUCUCUUAUACA
This 301-nucleotide ribosomal RNA is filed under the name uncultured bacterium. Its description in RNAcentral is "partial 16S ribosomal RNA". It matches the Rfam family "Bacterial small subunit ribosomal RNA", at positions 509 to 809 of the family's 1533-position model. The record is from RNAcentral.